CCACAGUCAAGCGUCGGCUCGUCAGGGUCGGCGCUUGCCUCCAUUUACCUCCAACAACCAGGUGUUGAAGUCUGUAUAUCGCUCUUUUGAAGAGCAAUACCGCAAUGCCGUGCAGCAGCUUAAGGAUGGGCAAGGGUAAAGGAAAGGGCAAGGCUGCUUCAUGUCAGCAGCCUUUUCAGAGGAAGGGGAAGUCGGCCCGGCUUCUCAGUAAGCUAUCCUCUGGAGCCCUUAGUGGUCCCGGCGCAAGCAGUUGUUACACUGCCGACUGCCAGGAUUCAUUGCCUGUUACCCGACCUCCCUGUCGGCGGCCGACUACCUCUGUUCCUUCGGGAGUGGGAGAAAGUCACGUCAAAUCCCUGGUUCCUGUCUACACUCA
Long non-coding RNA from Haliotis rubra (blacklip abalone), 376 nucleotides. RefSeq lists it as uncharacterized. The transcript is spliced from 3 exons. The record is from RefSeq and is a predicted model, not a curated record. Lineage: Eukaryota; Metazoa; Mollusca; Gastropoda; Lepetellida; Haliotidae.